This 74-nucleotide transfer RNA is filed under the name Phycisphaerales bacterium. RNAcentral describes it as "tRNA-Val". It matches the Rfam family "tRNA". From Rfam's summary of the family: Transfer RNA (tRNA) molecules are approximately 80 nucleotides in length. Their secondary structure includes four short double-helical elements and three loops (D, anti-codon, and T loops). Further hydrogen bonds mediate the characteristic L-shaped molecular structure. tRNAs have two regions of fundamental functional importance: the anti-codon, which is responsible for specific mRNA codon recognition, and the 3' end, to which the tRNAs corresponding amino acid is attached (by aminoacyl-tRNA synthetases). tRNAs cope with the degeneracy of the genetic code in two manners: having more than one tRNA (with a specific anti-codon) for a particular amino acid; and 'wobble' base-pairing, i.e. permitting non-standard base-pairing at the 3rd anti-codon position. The record is from RNAcentral. Lineage: Bacteria; Pseudomonadati; Planctomycetota; Phycisphaerae; Phycisphaerales.
GGGCGGAUAGCUCAGUUGGCUAGAGCGCUCGCUUUACACGCGAGAGGUCCAGGGUUCGAGUCCCUGUCUGCCCA